RNAcentral lists this ribosomal RNA (462 nucleotides) under uncultured bacterium. RNAcentral describes it as "SSU rRNA". It matches the Rfam family "Bacterial small subunit ribosomal RNA", at positions 26 to 518 of the family's 1533-position model. The record is from RNAcentral.
AGGACGAACGCUGGCGGCGUGCUUAACACAUGCAAGUCAAGGGGGCCCAGCAAUGGGCAACCGGCGAACGGGUGCGUAACACGUGAGCAACCUACCGAACUGUGGGGGAUAGCCGGCCUAACGGCCGAGUAAUACCGCAUACGCUUUCAGUGAGGCAUUUCAUUGAAAGGAAACCUACGGGACAGAUCGAGGGGCUCGCGGCCUAUCAGCUAGUUGGCGAGGUAACGGCUCACCAAGGCAACGACGGGUAGCUGGUCUGAGAGGAUUGCCAGCCACAUUGGGACUGAGAUACGGCCCAGACUCCUACGGGAGGCAGCAGUGGGGAAUCUUGCGCAAUGGCCUAACGGCUGACGCAGCGACGCCGCGUGCGGGAAGAAGGCCUCGGGUUGUAAACCGCUUCAGAAGGAACGAACUGACGGUACUUUCAGAAGAAGGUGCGGCCAACUACGUGCCAGCAGCCGC